CCUACGGGAGGCUGCAGUGGGGAAUAUUGGACAAUGGGGGCAACCCUGAUCCAGCCAUGCCGCGUGUGUGAAGAAGGCCCUCGGGUUGUAAAGCACUUUCAGUGAGGAAGAACGCCUGGUGGUUAAUACCCAUCAGGAAAGACAUCACUCACAGAAGAAGCACCGGCUAACUCCGUGCCAGCAGCCGCGGUAAUACGGAGGGUGCGAGCGUUAAUCGGAAUUACUGGGCGUAAAGCGCGCGUAGGUGGCUUGAUAAGCCGGUUGUGAAAGCCCUGGGCUCAACCUGGGAACGGCAUCCGGAACUGUCAAGCUAGAGUGCAGGAGAGGAAGGUAGAAUUCCCGGUGUAGCGGUGAAAUGCGUAGAGAUCGGGAGGAAUACCAGUGGCGAAGGCGGCCUUCUGGACUGACACUGACACUGAGGUGCGAAAGCGUGGGUAGCAAACAGGAUUAGAUACCCGUGUAGUC
This 465-nucleotide ribosomal RNA is filed under the name Vreelandella stevensii. RNAcentral describes it as "partial 16S ribosomal RNA". It matches the Rfam family "Bacterial small subunit ribosomal RNA", at positions 338 to 795 of the family's 1533-position model. Lineage: Bacteria; Pseudomonadati; Pseudomonadota; Gammaproteobacteria; Oceanospirillales; Halomonadaceae. The record is from RNAcentral.